Molecule: non-coding RNA, 123 nt
Organism: Picea glauca (white spruce)
Lineage: Eukaryota; Viridiplantae; Streptophyta; Pinopsida; Pinales; Pinaceae
Source: Rfam
AUGUACAUUCCUACAACAUAGCGUUAAUGCACCAGAUCCCAUUAGAACUCUACAGUUAAGCACGCUCAGGCUAGAGUAGCACUGAGAUGGGUGACCACCUGGGAAUUCCUAGUGUUCUACAUG